Molecule: ribosomal RNA, 515 nt
Filed under: Liopholis personata
Lineage: Eukaryota; Metazoa; Chordata; Lepidosauria; Squamata; Scincidae
Description: partial 16S ribosomal RNA
Rfam family: Bacterial large subunit ribosomal RNA
Source: RNAcentral
AAACAAGUAUUAAAGGUCCCGCCUGCCCAGUGAAACAUUUAAACGGCCGCGGUAUCCUAACCGUGCAAAGGUAGCGUAAUCACUUGUCUUCUAAAUAGAGACUAGUAUGAACGGCUAAAUGAGGACAAAACUGUCUCUUACAGCUAAUCAGUGAAACUGAUCUUCCAGUACAAAAGCUGGAAUAAACCCAUAAGACGAGAAGACCCUGUGGAGCUUUAAACCAGUCGCUAACAAGCAUUCAAAUAAUGCACCUAGCCCCAGGUUUUAAGUUGGGGCGACUUCGGAACAAAACAAAACUUCCGAGCACAGAACCACCACUUCUCGCUAAGGCCAACAAGCCAAAGCAUGAAACCCGACCCAGUCACACUGAUCAACGAACCAAGUUACCCCAGGGAUAACAGCGCUAUCUUCUUCAAGAGUCCCUAUCGACAAGAAGGUUUACGACCUCGAUGUUGGAUCAGGACACCCAAAUGGUGCAGCCGCUAUUAAAGGUUCGUUUGUUCAACGAUUCACAG